GUAGUCAUCAUUUGAACACGUCUCCGCUAAUCUUCGGUCUGUCGCUGCCUCCUCACCAUCAUAAAAAAAAAAAAAAACAUCCAAUAGACCGACACCUUUGUCUUUCUGUGGUAUCUAACCACCGCCAUUAGAUUUUUACUCAACUGUACAGCUCCUAUGAACCCAACAACCUAUUUUAUCCUCUUCGAUUAAUGCUUUCAACAUUCUAAGUUUCAAGCUUUUCUUAUGCUUUCUCCGACUUGAAAUCCAAGUUUUCCUGUGUUGGCUGCAGAGAAAGUGAGGAACUUAAAAUUUCUUUGCAGCCAAACAGGGAAUUGGCCAUCUGGGGCUUUUUAGGGUCCAUUUUCUGGUGGAUAGAGCUGAAGAAAUGGCCUCUGCUCAUGCAUUUAGUUCACUAUCUAAAGUUUCUCCUGUAUUUUCUCUUAAAAAACGGUACUGGAAUUCAUGUAUGAAACCUUGCUGUAUGGUUUCUACCAUAAUUUGCAACUACCAAACGCCUAAAAGGCCCAAUUUUGUUGCUGCAAAGACUACUAAAGUUAGAGAAUUUAGGCUAUUUAAGUCAGUGGAAUUGGACCAGUACGUGACGAGUGACGAUGAAGAAGAAAUGGGUGAAGGAUUUUUUGAGGCAAUUGAGGAACUUGAGAGAAUGACAAGAGAACCUUCUGAUAUUCUUGAGGAAAUGAAUGAUAGGUUGUCCGCGAGAGAGUUGCAAUUAGUGCUUGUUUAUUUCUCUCAAGAGGGGAGAGAUUCCUGGUGUGCGCUUGAGGUGUUUGAGUGGUUGAGAAAGGAGAAUAGGGUCGACAAGGAAACAUUGGAGCUUAUGGUUUCGAUAAUGUGUAGUUGGGUUAAGAAGUUAAUUGAAGGGGAACAAGAUGUUGGGGAUGUGGUUGACUUACUUGUGGAUAUGGAUUGUGUGGGGUUGAAGCCGAGUUUUAGUAUGAUUGAGAAGGUGAUAUCUUUGUAUUGGGAUAUGGGGAAGAAGGAGGGAGCGGUUUCAUUUGUGAAGGAGGUUUUGAGACGAGGGAUUGCAUAUUCGGGCGAUGAUGGAGAAGGACAGAAAGGAGGCCCAACUGGGUAUCUUACAUGGAAGAUGAUGGUUGAUGGAAACUACAGGAAUGCAGUCAAGUUGGUGAUUCAUCUUAGAGAAUCUGGAUUAAAGCCUGAGAUCUAUGCCUACCUCAUUGCAAUGACAGCUGUUGUCAAAGAGCUAAAUGAAUUUUCUAAAGCUCUACGCAAGUUGAAAGGUUAUUCAAGGUCUGGUAUGAUAACUGAACUUGGUGCUGAGAAUGUAGAGCUUGUUGAGAAAUAUCAGUCAGAUCUUCUAGCUGAUGGAGUAUGCUUGUCCAGUUGGGUCAUUCAGGAGGGAAGUCCUGCACUUUAUGGUGUGGUUCAUGAGCGACUUCUUGCCAUGUAUAUUUGUGCUGGCCGUGGGCUUGAUGCUGAAAGACAGUUAUGGGAAAUGAAGCUUGUUGGUAAGGAGGCUGAUGGAGACCUUUAUGACAUUGUUUUAGCUAUCUGUGCAUCUCAAAAGGAGGCCAGCGCCAUAGCACGGUUGCUCACUAGAAUAGAGGUUGCAAGCUCUAUGCGCAAGAAGAAAUCAUUGUCAUGGUUGUUGAGAGGUUACAUUAAAGGUGGACACUAUGGUGAGGCUGCAGAAACACUAAUUAAGAUGCUUGAUUUGGGUUUAUCUCCAGCUUAUUUAGACAGAGUAGCGGUGAUGCAGGGUCUGAGAAAAAGGAUCCAACAAUGGGGAAAUGUUGAAUCUUAUCUUAAGCUUUGCAAGCGCCUCUCUGAUGUGAAUUUGAUUGGACCUUCUCUUGUAUAUCUGUAUAUAAAGAAAUAUAAGCUUUGGAUCAUGAAAUUGCUUUGAGUGACCCCUCGAGUGGAAUGAAUUUGAACCUGGGUUUGUGAUUGUGAUGAAAGCAAGGUUUAUAGAGUCUAGCAUUCACAACACCACCAUUAUUAUAAAUACCUUCAAAUGAGAAGAUUGUGUACAUUGAUUGGGAUGGCUUCACGGAGGUGCAAGAAUAUGGGUAGAGUCUAUGAUGCCAACGCAGGUUUUGUCUCCGCUAUUUUGUUCUCGAGGUCCUGUAGCUGUUUGUGUAUGUGGUAGAUGCUGUAAACAUAAUAAAGAACAUUCAACACAAUGUAACCAAGCUGCGUAUAAAUCUUACAGUAGCCGUACAUGCAUAUUGUAUCAUGGCAAAAAUAGGAUUCAGUGAAGACUACUUGGAAUGAUGAAGUAUGCUUUUACUUCAGUUAUGUUUGGUUGCAUCUUUAUAAAUUAUCAAAUGUGAUCUCGGUGAUGAGUUAUGAUCAUUGACACUAGCCUUUUCUUACUUCAUAGCUGAAUACCUAACUGAACAUCUGGACUAGUUAUUGGCUCGCAUAUGUAAUGAUAUGAUCUGCAAUGUUCAAAAUCUGUCACUCGGAGCCAGUAUGUUUACAGAAACUGUCAUGCUUCCGGUUCUGCCAAACUAUUGCUGGACAUGGUGGACAAGGAACAGGAACUUCAUUCUCCGUGUUUGCUGUUAGAUAUUCUCUAGGAUCAGGGUCUUCUUUAUUAAUUCCAGUUAGGCCUUGAUAUCAUCUUACAGAACUUCUGAAAGCCUAACCAAGAAUCAAAAACUUCGCAUUGUUAAAGCUUUGGGACCGUGAACUUAUAUAUCGGCAGGGAAUUUAUUUAUAUCCAGUAUAGGUUGGGUUUGGAUAAGCUAUAUACAGUGUUGAGAACCCCCUUGUGGGCCAUUUGAUUUGUGAAAUGCACUUGGUAGUGAAUCCUUCACAAGAUACGGUGGCCGCAUCUUUUGCUGCCCCUUUUACAUGUUCGAAGGUUGUCAAUAUGGUGGCAGAACAACCAGGUGGGUGAGUGGCGAAGUUGGGAUUAAUUUCUAUAAUGAGAGCGGGAGAGCAGAGCCAUAUAAGGUUGUAGUUUAUGUUCUGUCUUUUUUGGUAAACUUUGUAUGAUUAAUAAUUGUUCUUCCCCAUUAACGCCCAUACCAUUGCUUUCGUUC
This is an RNA transcript of Populus nigra (black poplar), 3014 nucleotides long. It is a transcript of the gene named pentatricopeptide repeat-containing protein At2g30100, chloroplastic, with no coding region annotated. The transcript is spliced from 4 exons. The record is from RefSeq and is a predicted model, not a curated record. Lineage: Eukaryota; Viridiplantae; Streptophyta; Magnoliopsida; Malpighiales; Salicaceae.